This is a long non-coding RNA of Triticum dicoccoides, 1367 nucleotides long. RefSeq lists it as uncharacterized. The record is from RefSeq and is a predicted model, not a curated record. The transcript is spliced from 3 exons. Lineage: Eukaryota; Viridiplantae; Streptophyta; Magnoliopsida; Poales; Poaceae.
CUCGCUUCACUCACUCGUUCCCCACUCUCUCGUCCAAAUCCCUAGCUCGCCUCGCUCCGCUGCUCGCGUCGCCGCCGCUCGCCUCUCUUGCUCGCGUCACCGCCGCCAUCUCGCCUGCGUCGACGUCGACGCUCGCCUCCACCCCACACGCGUCGCCGCCGCCGCCUUCUUGUGACGUCUUCGCCGCUCCCUCUCACCCGCGUCGCCUGCACCAGCGAGGUCGCCACAAGAUUGUUUUUGUUACCAAAGCGGAGGCGAGGAGCAGCUGGUGAGUUGUACCCAUGGCUGGAUCUGAAGUGUCUGGACGUCCCCGCGAUGAGGAUGAGUGGGAGGAGCAAGAGCACAUCUGAAGAUGGUGAGGAGUGGAGGCGGCGGUUCUGAAUUUGAAGAUGGUGCUGUGAGGAGUAGCGGGAGGAGCAGUCGCCGACGGCCUGGCUGCAUGGGGUACGCCCUCCCCUUCGUCUCCUACGGCAUCGUGGACAUCCUGCUCGACGACGUACAUCUGCUCGAGGAUAUCCUGCUCGACGAUGCUCCUCUUCGCCAGCAUCUCUAGCGCGUGACUGAUACAGAAGCAAAGUGUUUCAAGGCACAUAGGUCCAGUGAUGAGAGUGGUAGUUUCAGAAAAGAUACUGAAGCUAAUUCAAGAAAUACUACUAAGGCUGUUGGUCAAAAUCCCCCACCACCAAAGCAAGGUUUCAUCCAUGUGAGGGCAAGAAGGGGUCAAGCAACUGACAGCCAUAGCCUUGCAGAAACGCUACAAAUCUGGUCGCUGAAAGUCUACUUUCUUUUACGGGCACGGCGUGAGAAAGUAACCAAGCGGAUGAAAAUUCUCCAAAACCCUAUCCCUGGAUGUAAUAAAGGUGCAUAUUAAUCUCAACAAGAAGUCUAUAUUUUUUAUGUUUACAUUCUGUCCCACCAAUGUCCAGAUAUGUAUUGAAAAGUAAGGAUUAUAAAAUUCAAAUAAGGGGGAAAUAAGAGAAUAUACAGAGACCUCCACAUAUGAUAAAUAAUAUAAAGAUGUAGUUUCGAUAUUGUGUGGUGGUCCAGUAUCGCACCCUUUGGAAAAAAAAUCAGGGAGGUAUUUGGGUCCAAUCUGUAACAUCAAUCCAGUGUGGUAUAUCAUCCCUGCUUUCACCACCUGUACCAUUAAUCCAGUGUGGUAUAUUAUUGCUGCUUUGCCCAUCUGUACCAUCAAUUAUCAAAGAACCAACGACCACAUUUCAUUGUUGAUUAACAGUGACUAAUUUAACUUGAGAUGCAAAUAACCCAUUGGUGUAACUGUAGUUCUAAUACCAAAGAUAGUCUCCGGUCAUGAUCAAGCAACCAGAGUUAUUCUGCUUAAGGGAAAUAAAUAACAUAACAAAAAU